RNAcentral lists this transfer RNA (77 nucleotides) under Richelia sp. RM2_1_2. RNAcentral describes it as "tRNA-Leu". It matches the Rfam family "tRNA". Rfam says of the family: Transfer RNA (tRNA) molecules are approximately 80 nucleotides in length. Their secondary structure includes four short double-helical elements and three loops (D, anti-codon, and T loops). Lineage: Bacteria; Bacillati; Cyanobacteriota; Cyanophyceae; Nostocales; Nostocaceae. The record is from RNAcentral.
GUCCGUCUACUCCAAUUGGUAGAGAGAAUGCACUUAGACUGCAUGUAGUGUCAGUUCGAAUCUGACGACGGACACCA